Helicoverpa armigera (cotton bollworm) is the source of this 417-nucleotide long non-coding RNA. RefSeq lists it as uncharacterized. Lineage: Eukaryota; Metazoa; Arthropoda; Insecta; Lepidoptera; Noctuidae. The transcript is spliced from 2 exons. The record is from RefSeq and is a predicted model, not a curated record.
UUUGUUCAGGAGUUUUUGGUUUUGACUGUACCUGCAUUGUAAAACACAUCAUUUGUUACAUUGUUUUUGAGGCAAAUCAAUUUAAACAAUGCGACUGAUCCGUGUAAAUGUAAGUAUAUAAAAUGUUGUAGUUUCAAUUUUGUCGACAUAACUAUGCUGUAGGUAGGAAGUAUAUGUUCACGUCAUGGACAUGAAAAUAUUAUUUAUUUUGUGUGUUGUGUGCAUGGUGGUGGCCGUACCUGAGAAUGGACAUAGACAGAGGAGGGAGAUAGAACGUCGACAGUACAAUAUUGGAGGACCGGUCCCCCCGCCACCAUUUGGUCCAAUAUCUCCGUCACCUUAUCCUGGCUGGAAUUCUCCGGGACCAAGGCCUCGCCCUUGGCGCCCUGGCAAACGGCGACCAAGACCAUUUCGACC